This 427-nucleotide ribosomal RNA is filed under the name uncultured bacterium. RNAcentral describes it as "partial 16S ribosomal RNA". It matches the Rfam family "Bacterial small subunit ribosomal RNA", at positions 355 to 774 of the family's 1533-position model. The record is from RNAcentral.
UGGGGAAUAUUGGACAAUGGGCGAAAGCCUGAUCCAGCCAUGCCGCGUGUGUGAAGAAGGUCUUCGGAUUGUAAAGCACUUUAAGUUGGGAGGAAGGGUUGUAGAUUAAUACUCUGCAAUUUUGACGUUACCGACAGAAUAAGCACCGGCUAACUCUGUGCCAGCAGCCGCGGUAAUACAGAGGGUGCAAGCGUUAAUCGGAAUUACUGGGCGUAAAGCGCGCGUAGGUGGUUAGUUAAGUUGGAUGUGAAAUCCCCGGGCUCAACCUGGGAACUGCAUUCAAAACUGACUGACUAGAGUAUGGUAGAGGGUGGUGGAAUUUCCUGUGUAGCGGUGAAAUGCGUAGAUAUAGGAAGGAACACCAGUGGCGAAGGCGACCACCUGGACUGAUACUGACACAGAGGUGCGAAAGCGUGGGGAGCAAACA